This 294-nucleotide unclassified non-coding RNA is filed under the name uncultured fungus. RNAcentral's name for it is "sequence contains ITS1". The record is from RNAcentral. Lineage: Eukaryota; Fungi.
AGGACUACAGGGGUAUCUAAUCCUGUUUGCUACCCACACUUUCGAGCCUCAGCGUCAGUUACAGACCAGACAGCCGCCUUCGCCACUGGUGUUCUUCCAUAUAUCUACGCAUUUCACCGCUACACAUGGAGUUCCACUGUCCUCUUCUGCACUCAAGUCUCCCAGUUUCCAAUGCACUUCUUCGGUUGAGCCGAAGGCUUCCACAUUAGACUUAAAAGACCGCCUGCGCUCGCUUUACGCCCAAUAAAUCCGGAUAACGCUUGCCACCUACGUAUUACCGCGGCUGCUGGCACU